GACGAACGCUGGCGGCGUGCUUAACACAUGCAAGUCGAACGGAAAGGCCCUGCUUGCCGGGUACUCGAGUGGCGAACGGGUGAGUAACACGUGGGUGAUCUGCCCUGCACUUCGGGAUAAGCCUGGGAAACUGGGUCUAAUACCGGAUAGGAGCCAUUUUUAGUGUGAUGGUUGGAAAGUUUUUUCGGUGUAGGAUGAGCUCGCGGCCUAUCAGCUUGUUGGUGGGGUAAUGGCCUACCAAGGCGGCGACGGGUAGCCGGCCUGAGAGGGUGGACGGCCACAGUGGGACUGAGAUACGGCCCAGACUCCUACGGGAGGCAGCAGUGGGGAAUAUUGCACAAUGGGCGCAAGCCUGAUGCAGCGACGCCGCGGGGGGGAGGACGGCCUUCGGGUUGUAAACUCCUUUCGCUAGGGACGAAGCUUUUUGUGACGGUACCUAGAGAAGAAGCACCGGCUAACUACGUG
RNAcentral lists this ribosomal RNA (465 nucleotides) under uncultured bacterium. RNAcentral's name for it is "partial 16S ribosomal RNA". It matches the Rfam family "Bacterial small subunit ribosomal RNA", at positions 28 to 507 of the family's 1533-position model. The record is from RNAcentral.